Molecule: long non-coding RNA, 737 nt
Filed under: Medicago truncatula (barrel medic)
Lineage: Eukaryota; Viridiplantae; Streptophyta; Magnoliopsida; Fabales; Fabaceae
Description: long non-coding RNA (MTRU_LNC000023)
Source: RNAcentral
AAUAGUUUAUCUAAAACAAAACUUUAGGGAUUUGAUCUAGUGGUUAAAAGAUAGAUUUUGACCUUGAAAGUUUGGAUUUGAGUUUUGUGUGUUCUUAAAGAAACAUAAAUAUAAAUUAUUUUGUAAGUGUUCUUUGAGUUUCAAGAUCCUUUCUAUCUUGGAUUAGGACAUCAUCUCCUUUUAAAAUACAUAUAAAUUAUACAUAAACUCUCACAAUAACACGUUGAUUCUUACGGAAAAUGGGACGGAAAUCUUUGGGAUUUGAAAACUUUCAAACCACAGAUAAUCAUAUUAACAUCAAGAAUGUAGGAAAAGUUAAAGGGUCAUGUUAACCAGUGGUCCCAUGCACUGGUUAAGGAAGCCAAAAGAAGAAAUUGCAAAUCAAAAAAGACAAUUUUUAGAUUUUUAAUGCAUUGAUUACACAUCUUUCAGUACAAAAAUUACUAUAUUUAUUUACUCCCUUAACCAGAAGUUAAAAUAUAGGUAACUUUGAAUUACUUCCUUUAUUUCACCAGUCGUGUUUUGAAUUACUCCAGGCACGGAUGCAGGUAGUGGGGUUUGGGGUCAGCUGACCCCACUCUUAGCUUCAUAUUUCAACCAAUAAUAGGGAUUUUUAACACUUUGCCUCCACUUGAUAUUUUAUGUUGACCCCACACUAUGUAUAAGUUGUAGUAUUACCAUGCAUAAAAAUCAAGAGUGAGAAACAAUUUCAAGAGUUUAAUAACAUAUUUAUGGAG